RNAcentral lists this unclassified non-coding RNA (147 nucleotides) under soil metagenome. RNAcentral's name for it is "partial internal transcribed spacer 1". The record is from RNAcentral.
UAAUAAGUGUUUUUAUGGCACUUUUUAAAUCCAUAUCCACCUUGUGUGCAAUGUCAGUCGAUCUUCUUCAUGGAGAUCGACCAAACAUCAACCUUUAUCUUUUAACAUCUUUGUCUGAAAAAUAUUAUGAAUAAACAAUUCAAAAUA